This is a long non-coding RNA of Dreissena polymorpha, 364 nucleotides long. RefSeq lists it as uncharacterized. The transcript has 2 exons. Lineage: Eukaryota; Metazoa; Mollusca; Bivalvia; Myida; Dreissenidae. The record is from RefSeq and is a predicted model, not a curated record.
AUAAGUGCAUUUUCAAAGGGGCCACUUUGUCCGGACUCUAUUUCAAAUUGUAUUCAUCCGAUCUUCACCAAACUUGGUCAGCAGUUGCAUCUAGUUGAUAUAUAGGCCAAGUUCGAAUAUGGGUCAUGCCGGGUCAAAAACUAGGUCAUAGGGUCAAUUAGUGCAUUUUCAACGGCGCCACUUUGUCCGGACUCUUAUUCAAAUUGUAUUCAUCCGAUCUUCACCAAACUUGGUCAGUAGUUGCAUCUAGUUGAUAUCUAGGUCAAGUUCGAAUAUGGGUCAUGUCGGGUCAAGAACUAGGUCAUAGGGUCAAUUAGUGCAUUUUCAACGGCGCCACUUUGUCCGGACUCUAAUUCAAAUUGUA